AGGGGGGCCAAUUAAGAGAGGCCUGAUUACAAUCCAGGUGAACAAAGAUGGCAACUACUGGUCUCAGGCCGGUCACGAUAGAGGUUGUGAAAGCAGUCGGAUUCUAAACAUAUUUUUAAAGAUUCUUUUCCUAGAUGGUUAUUAGCAUAUUGAGCAGAGUUCCCUGUGCUAUACGGAACCCUCCAGUGAUUUUAGAUAACAAGCGCCAGCCUCCGAUGGUAAACCAGGCUUCAUCUUGGCCUCAUCCAUGCCAGGUGACCUUGGCAAACCCACUUAACCCCUGGGACCUCAAUUUCCCCAGC
Molecule: long non-coding RNA, 302 nt
Organism: Bubalus bubalis (water buffalo)
Lineage: Eukaryota; Metazoa; Chordata; Mammalia; Artiodactyla; Bovidae
Exons: 3
Source: RefSeq, a predicted model, not a curated record